GCCUCUAUGGCACAGGGGUAAUGCGUGUCACUCGUAUGUUCAAGCUUGCGAGUUCAUGACAAGAUCCGCGGUUCGAUUCCGCGUGGAGGCA
Molecule: transfer RNA, 91 nt
Filed under: Xylaria bambusicola
Lineage: Eukaryota; Fungi; Ascomycota; Sordariomycetes; Xylariales; Xylariaceae
Description: tRNA-Thr
Rfam family: tRNA
About the family: Transfer RNA (tRNA) molecules are approximately 80 nucleotides in length. Their secondary structure includes four short double-helical elements and three loops (D, anti-codon, and T loops).
Source: RNAcentral